UACGUAGGGUGCAAGCGUUGUCCGGAAUUAUUGGGCGUAAAGAGUUCGUAGGCUGCACAGAAAGUAGGGUGUGAAAGCCCUCGGCUCAACCGAGGAAUUGCGCUCUAAACUGCUGUGCUUGAGGAACCUAGAGGUGAGCAGAACUGAUGGUGGAGCGGUGAAAUGCGUUGAUAUCAUCAGGAAUACCGGAGGCGAAGGUGGCUCACUGGGGGUUUUCUGACGCUGAGGAACGAAAGCCAGGGGAGCGAACGGG
This 253-nucleotide ribosomal RNA is filed under the name uncultured bacterium. RNAcentral's name for it is "partial 16S ribosomal RNA". It matches the Rfam family "Bacterial small subunit ribosomal RNA", at positions 524 to 776 of the family's 1533-position model. The record is from RNAcentral.